UUAACUUUGGCAGAGCUAAUGCAUUUAAUUUAGGAUUAAAAUAUACCCCAUGGGUAAGUUAUU
This 63-nucleotide transfer RNA is filed under the name Meghimatium bilineatum. RNAcentral's name for it is "tRNA-Leu". Lineage: Eukaryota; Metazoa; Mollusca; Gastropoda; Stylommatophora; Philomycidae. The record is from RNAcentral.